Coregonus clupeaformis (lake whitefish) is the source of this 457-nucleotide long non-coding RNA. RefSeq lists it as uncharacterized. The transcript has 3 exons. NCBI's taxonomy places the organism in Eukaryota, Metazoa, Chordata, Actinopteri, Salmoniformes, Salmonidae. The record is from RefSeq and is a predicted model, not a curated record.
AGGAUGACCAGUCUGCCUUGUACCAACCACCAAUGAACCAGUCAUGGGACAACAAACUGAGAAAGGCAAUGCAAAUGAGUGGUUUGUACCAAAAGCACCCUCUGGAUUGUGAUCUGCUGGCUGGAUUUGCCAAAUAUCUCCGCGAUGACCACAACAUUCCCAAUUUCAAACAGGAGGUUGCAAAUGUGUCUAGGUUUUUGUUUUACAUGGACUCCACCAAACCUUCCCUGGAUUUUGUCAAUAAAUUGGAGCAAAGCAGGUCCUUUUUUACCAAGCUUGCAAACAUUGGACAGAAGAAGCAAACAAUUGCAAACUACAUGAAGAAUCUGAAGAGGUUUCUUCGCUACAUCACGACGUCAACAAACCUCAUCCAGACAGAAAGGAGCUUGUAUGAGCAAUGCAAGCAUUUCCAGGACUGCCUGAAUGACUUACAGAAGUCCAUGAGCAAGCAGGUGUC